GGGACCCGGAGGAGGCUGAGCCCCCGAGCUGCCCUGAUGGGGAUGGGCCUGGUGAGGCGAGCCUCCGCCCCCCCUCCACCGCCCCCGCCCCCCACCCCGGGCCCAGGGGCCGGGAGGGCCAAGCGGGGGCGUCAGGUGACGCUCGGGGACAGCCUCGGCUACUCACAGGGGUGCCCCGAGUCAGGGAUAACUUAAAGGUGAAAGGGCUUGACAGUAAAGGGAAGGGAGAUAAAGGUGGAGACACAGAGUAACCGAGCUUGAAAGGGACAGCUGGGGUAGGGGCAGCCUGGCCCUCAGGGGUGCACAGCCGAAACCUGGGCUGCGGGGAGAGUGGAGGGCAUCUGAUGGAGGAAACGGUGCUGACCCGGAGGGACUAGAGCCACAGGGCCCAGAGGCAACCCCUCAAGAACCCACAGGUCGCCCCAGCAUUUGGUCCUCUGCGGACAGAAGCCCUGACAUCCCUCCGGUCCCGCGCCGCCCCCUCCACCCCACGUGUGAACCUCCGAAAGCCAGAGGGAAGGCGGUGGGGGAGGGGCUCCUUGGAAAAGAAGAAACACACACACUUUCCCUUUAAUGGAAUGAGUAUUGGGGUUUUAGACGGUCAGUAAAGGACACUUGCCUCUUGCAAUCGUCGUUCAGAAACUAGUGAAGAUGACACACAAGUAGGAUGAUGUUAAAAUACCAGCCUUCCACAUAUACAAAGCUAGUCUGGAAGACAUGCCUUAGAUCUGCAAUCAAGAGGGGAAUACUGACCCACCCCUAAAUCAGACAAACAUCUCCCUCAACCCCUGACCAGAUGGGCAGCUGCAGCCUCCAGGCCACAGAGCUGCCUCACCGAGCACCAUGCAGCCAAGUGCAGGUAAGAAGAUACCACCAGCCUGUGGACCCCACAAAGUGUACUCAGAGGAGCCUGAGCAUACUUUACCCUGUCCAUUCUCCCAAAUUCACCAAUCCAUACUUCGCUGGGAGUAGAAAACAGUUUUUCUCCACUGAUGUUCCUCCACGUGGAAACACAAAGAGUGGGAAUUAGGGCUCCAGCCUACAGUAUGGACAUCUGAAACCCUGAGUCUGGCAAAGCCAAGGGACAGAAGCGGUUUCAGUUGGAGCACACUUUGAGUUUUGAUAUUUUACUGUACUGGAAUUCUUAUGAGCAAAAUAACAAUUUUUUUAAAAUAUCUUGGAAAGAAAAAAAGUGUAAAAAUCCAUCUGAGAAUUCACAGGUAAGACUUUCUAGAGAUAGUCAUGAGAAAAAAUAAUACUUCUCUCUACUUGCACCCUACCAAUUCCAACUCAUUUAAUAAAUUGGAUACAGAAGUCUCCAAAGUUUUUGGCAUGAACAACUGGGCAUAUGAUGGUGUUGUUUACAAAAGUAGAGAAGGUUUUGGGGGAAAUUUCAACUUAGAUUGGAAACAUGUUAAGACAGAUGCUCAUCAGACAUGUAAGUGAGUACACUAGAGUAGACUUGUGUUCAGGAGAGAGGACAAGGCUAGAGAAAGGAAUUUAGGAGUUACCUAUUUUUAGGUGAUGUUUGAGAAUAGGAGAUUGGACAAGAUCAACUAGAAAGUGAGUGUUCCAAAGAAGAUUUUCUGGGUGAGUCCUGGGGCAGGAAUAGUUUCCAGUUCAGAAGAGAAGGAGUAGCCAAAAAAACAGGAGAAAAACCAGGGUAAUGUGGAGUCAGGGAAGCCAGGCAAAGACAUGGUUGCGUAAAGGUUUUAGAGGAAUUGUAAAAUGGGUCUGAGAAUUGAUGAUUCUAAAUGUUGCAAGACAACUUAUUGGUGACUGAUAAGAGCAAUGUUAGGAAAUGUGAAGAGAAGAGCCCGGCAACAGAGUUUUAUUUUGUUUUUAAGGGGGGAAUUUCCAGUUAAACAUGUCAGACUGAGCACAGGCAUUGACUUCCAUUUCCCAUCCAAACUCUAUUUACAUAAAGUAAUAAAAGAUAAAAACUCACAGUGAAAGAACGGGAGAGAAGUUACCAGCAAACUAGAGAGAUCAACACAAUUGUAGAAGUUGUGAUGUAAGAAGUGAUAACUGACCUAGCAAGCCAGAAAAAGCUGAAACCCAUAGGUAGAAGUGAAGCCAUCAAGAAAGAGACCAUUUUUGCUAACAAAUCCAAGGAAGGUGCAGAAAUCGAAAGACCUUUGAAUAAGCAGUAUGGUGAUAGGUCCCUUCCUCUACCUGGGUGGGAGCCUGUAACAGUUGAGUCAGAGCAGGUGUGAACUCAGGAAAGACAGUUGAAGUCUACUGAAAGUGGGGGGGACAGGGGAAGGUUGAGUGAAAGUCUUACACUCGUGUAGGAGCCCGGUCCUGCGCCUUCCAUUCAGCCAUAAGACUUCAGGCAGUAAGAAGAGGAUUUCUCUGGAGCAAAUGGCCCCCCAAAAAAGACCUGCAGACAUUGACAGCUGGGACCCACUGUUAAAGUGGAGAAGCCAAUCGGCUGUUUUGACACAGAGCUUCCAACAAGCUCCUUAGAGCCCCUCAUCAACGUGAGCCAGACAUUUGAGGAAAGCCUCUAUGAAGAAAGACAACAAAACACACCAAAAAAGGGAAUUUUGAGAAAUAGAGAGGAUGCCAGGUGUGGAAGAGGACUUGAACAAAAACAUGUCCUCACAGAGGUAGGAUGUUGCACCCAUGAAACCAGAACCACCUGAUGCUCUUUCCCUCCCUACACUAUUUUCCUCAGUGCUUCCCACUGAUUAGCAGACCAAACAGUUUGCAUAUUUAUCUUGUUUACUGCCUAUCUCUCCAUUAAAAUAUAAGCCCUGUGAGGGCUGACGUUUGUCAUAUCCCCAGCACCUGGAAUAAUGCUUAGCAGACAGUAAAUAUUCCGAAAGUAUAUACUGAAUAAACGAAUGAACAGGAUUCUCUAAAUAAGAAACAUUAAGGAAAAAGACUCUCAGGAAUAAAAAAUAUGGCAUCAGAUUUUAAGUCCCUAGAAUAGCAAUUUAAAAUAGGGAAAUUUUAGGAUAGUGGGAUAAAAAAUAAGGAUAUAAAAAAUAAAGGAGAAAAAAUUAGAGGAUCAAUCCAGGUGGUCAAACGUCUGAAUAUUAGGAGUUGCAAAGGGAAAUAAUGGAGGAAAAGAAUAUAUUAAAUAAUUUCAAAAAAUUCCAACAUAGGCAGAUAAUUUUCCAGACUGAGAAAGCAUGGCAUAUUGUUUUCUAAAGAUUCCUGCAACACCUCCCAUCUCACAUGCUCUUGUACAAUAUGGUCUUAACACUCGUCCCAAUGAGAAGUGGGAUCUACAUCCCAUCCCUUGAAUCUGUAACCAAACACUUGUAAUACCUUGCUGUGAAAGUUAUCCUGCACGAGUUCCAAAGCUGGGGUUGCAUUUUGCUCACUGGAGCACUUGUACUUGGACCCCUGAGAUUCCAUGUAAGAAGUCUGACUACCCUGGGCAACCUUGCCAUGGCCACAUAGUGCAGUCACAUAUUAGCCACUCAGGUUGAAAGGCCCAGCUGAGCCCCCUGCCAACCAUGUGAGUGAACUUGUCUUGGACAUCCAGUCUAAUCAAGCCUUCAAGUGACUGCAACUGUGUGAGCAAUCCCUAGAGAAAGCUGCCCAGCUGAAUCCUUCCCACAUUUGCUACCACAUAUGUUUGGAGUAGUCUGUUACACAGCAAUAACUACUGGGGGGGUGGGGGGGGGGGAAUGCACCACUAAUGCUCAGCACAACAAAUUGGGUGGGUAAUAGAAGAGGGAGACCAACACAAUCAAGCAUGUUUUUGAGAAAUUUAAGAACACUAGGAACAGAUGAUUUGCAAAACUUCCAGCAACAGUAACAACCAAAACAGGAGAAUGAUUACCAAUCUAAAAUUCUAUUUCCAGGGUGCCUGGGUGGCUCAGUCGGUUAAGUGUCCGACUUGAUUUCAGCUCAGGUCAUGAUCCCAGGGUUGUGGAAUUGAGCCCUGUAUCAGGACCCAUGCUGAGCAUGGAACCUACUUGGGAUUCUCUCCCCUGCCCUUCUCCCCUACUUAUGUGUACGUUUUUUCUAAUAAAGAAAUUAAUUAAAAUUAAAAGAUAAGGGGCACCUGGGAAGGUCGGUCAGUCGAGCAUCCGACUUAGCUUAGGUCAUUACCUCACAGUUCAUGGGUUUGAGCACCACAUCGGGCUCUGCUGUCAGCACAGAGCCCCUGUGGGUCCUGCUUCAGAUCCUCAGUCUCUCUCAAAGGUAAAAUAAAUAACAAAAGAAAAUAGGGCACCUGGGUGGUUCUGUUGUUAAGCAUCUGACUCACGUCAUGAUCUCACGGUUUGUGAGCUCAAGCCCCACUCCAGGUGAGCAUGAGCCCUGCUCCAGAUGGGCCUGCUUCUCUCUCUCUCCCUCCCUCUGUCUUUCUGUCCCUCACUUGCUCCGUCUCGCUCUCAAAAUAAAAGAUAAAAUAAAUAAAAUUCUGUUUUCAUUCAAAUGAUAAAUCAAAUUUAAGGGUAGAUAUAAAGACAAGAUAGGAAAGCUCGGAAGGCUGCUAGAAUAUGGGCUCCAUCAAAAUGAGAAAGCAAACGAAGGAAGAGGAAAAUCUAGGACUCAGAAUCCAGGACAUGUCCACACUGUGGCAGAAAAAUGGGUGUUUCCCAGUGGGUCAUCUCCAAAAGAAAGUGGAGCCUAGCACAGUGUUGGAAGGAACUUUACACUUAGCACAAAAAGUUUUGGGUGAAGUAGUGAUAACAGAAAAACAAGUAAACAAGGCAACCAACUCCAGGGAAAACUGAAAAGUUGGACCUGUUAACCUUAAAAAUAAAAUUAUCAGUUAUUCUUGCCAGCAAAAAUGGGUUUAUUUGGGAAUUUCAGAGAACCACAAUGCAAGACAAGCAAGCUAAGGCAAAACCAUAACUCCAAGGAACAAACCAGAACACGGCCUUCUAGAGGAAAAGAGGGAGUUGGGCAGGGCUAUUGUAAACAGAAAAUCAACUGUAGUAAACUGGGUGCUGAAAGUGUUGUGGCUUCUCAUUAGCUGAGCUGCAACUUUCUCCCAUUGCUUGAGCUGUGGCAGUCUCUCAUUGGCCGGACUAUUGCCUGGCCUGGGCAGGAGGAAACCUUCCUUCCUCCAGCUGGGACAGUAAAGUAGUAUCCUGGCAAGAUGUCCCUCUUCCUGAUAGGUCUUCAGUUGGUAGGGCACUAGAGCUCCCCCUACUGGCCUCCUGACUCCAUUUUAAAUGAGGUUUCCUUAAUUUUAACAUAACUAAAGGAAGUGUAAUCAUAUACCAAUACUGGGCUCAAUGGCCAACAGUAUUAAUAGUCAUACUGAACUCCGAAUGCACACUUCAGCCCACAUUUUGUCAAGCUGUUUGGAAGACUAGUAGAAGAGGAAAUGUGGAUAUUUAGGCAUGCAUAAAGUAUGUUGCAGAGAGGAUAGUCUAGGAGAGCUAAGUUCUCUUCCAUUGUGGGAAAUCAACAGAUAAUGUCUAAAAUCAAGAUUAAGAAAUAGCAUUAUUUAAGGUCUUUAUUGAUGAACAUGAAAUUAAUCACUGAAAAAAUCCCUAAAAAAAGUAAAUAGUUUUGUUCUAAGGAAGUGGGGAUUGGCUGGUAGAUUUGGUGGUCGUGGGAUAAGAAGUUCUGUUCUUAGUGCUUCUGUUUUCUCAGUGAAAUAAGCAAGGUCAUCAUCUAAGAAUGCUGGAGGUUUGAGGAGAAUGAGAAGAUACAGUCUUCUUGGAGAGUCUAAAGGAUUAUAAUAGGGAGAUGCUGAGUGCCAAUUUCAGAUUGGUGGUCAUAACUCAGCAUCACCAAAUUUAUUAAUACCUCCUUCUGUGGAUGGCUCAAAUUUAUCCUUCUUCCACACCAACUGCUAACAAACUCAAGAUUAUACCUUUCCUUUUUCACAUGGAUGGCUGCUCAGCACCCCUUUCGAGAUUCCUGCCUUGUCUUGCUGACCAGAAUUGCCCAUAUACCAUCUUUAAAAGAAGUGACCAAGUCACUUCUCUCCUAAUAUCUUCCAACAACUGACUCCCACAGCACUCAGAAUAAGGCAGCAAGGGUCUCUGUGGUCUGGCCUAUCCCCCCUCACUUGGCAGUACUACCACACUGACACCUCCAGGUGCCAUAACCUCUCAGCUACGUCACAUUCUGCCCAGUUCCACCCUGCACUCCCCUCCCGGAAUUCUGUCUUCUCCACAUAAUCCUCUGGUCUCCCCUCUGCUUCCAGGGCAGGGAUAUGCCCUGCACACACCUUCAGAUUGCUAUGUGCAUAUAACAUUGGCUCUCUUGGAUGUGAGCUAGGUGGGCCUGGUGAGCAGGGUUCCUGUGUCUUGUUCGUCCCUGUGUUACUGAUGUCUGACACAUCAGUGAUUGCAACUUAGAAACGAAUGAUGCACACAGAAAUGUAAGCUGCAAACUCCCUCACAGCCUAUGUUGGUGGGUGACAAUGUGAGGAGAUGAAACGUAAGAAUAUCAAAGACACUACACAGGAAAAAAGAGCCUUUCAUUCUGAAAACUUGGGAUGGCCUCAUUAGACACUCAAAUGGUUUAUUUGCAUGAUUAAUAAUCACAUUUCCAACAGUGCAUCAAACAUCUGAGAAGAACAUUAUUUCGAGUAAAGGCAAAAAUCUUCGGGAGACUCUCACUCUCUCAGGUCCCGUAGCUCAAAUGUCCACCAUGUCCAGCAGUGCAGAGAGAUGGAGCUCAGAGGCAACUUCCUCCUCCCUUGAACUCUGCAUCAGCCUUUCCAGGUGCUUGAGCCGUUCAGUCACACAUGUGCCUGUUGCCUCUGACAACUGCAGUUGCUCCCUUGGCCUUUCAUUCUAUUUAAAUAAAAAAGAACCUAAAAA
This 6752-nucleotide long non-coding RNA is filed under the name Lynx pardinus (Iberian lynx). Lineage: Eukaryota; Metazoa; Chordata; Mammalia; Carnivora; Felidae. The record is from RNAcentral.